ACUUAAAGUCAUACCACCCGGAAUACACCUGAUCCUGUCCGAUGACUGGCCUCGUUAGUUCUUGGAUGGGAGACUGCCUGGGAACAGCAGGUGCUGUAAGCU
Molecule: ribosomal RNA, 102 nt
Filed under: Paramormyrops kingsleyae
Lineage: Eukaryota; Metazoa; Chordata; Actinopteri; Osteoglossiformes; Mormyridae
Source: RNAcentral